Molecule: long non-coding RNA, 2144 nt
Filed under: Canis lupus familiaris (dog)
Lineage: Eukaryota; Metazoa; Chordata; Mammalia; Carnivora; Canidae
Description: lncRNA (ENSCAFG00000059333.1)
Source: RNAcentral
CUUUCUUCCCCCAAAGAAAGAUGGGGUAAUCUGCUUUUUCCUUAUCCCUGCCUGCUUCUGCCUAUGAGAGCUUUCCAUUUUGUUUGGCUCCUUGCAGUUCCUUUCUAUUUGCUAGAUAGGAUGUUGCUCAGCCCAUGAAUCAUGGAAUAAAGCCAUUUUGAGCUUUAAAUUUACUCAGCUGAAUUUUAACACAUUUUUCAUCUUAAAUCUAGGAUCAGCUGGUUUUUAACACUUAUACAAUAUCAACAAUUCUAAUCUGCUUUCUUUUCAUGUUUACUUCUAAGAUUUUGUUAGGUACCACUUUUGAGAAAGCCUUCUCAUGUCUAAAAAAAUCCAAAUAACUAUUGCUAAUGACUGGAAAAAAAAUAAGAAUGGAACAGAGGCUUUUAGAAAACUAAACCAUUUCCUUCAGAAACAGAUGUCCAAUUUUGGAUGGUUAUGUACAAUUCAUUUUAAGAGCUGGGGCAGUUUAUUCAUGUAAACGGAAGGUUAAAAAUCAUUGACCAAAACAAAGGCACCAUAGUUACAGCUACAAGCAUACUGAAGUACUUUGACAAGACAUUAGAAAAACUUAGACAUUGUGAUGGGAAACUGCUUCACUCCAUGCGCACAAGUCAUGCUUCUUCACAGUUAUCCUCUUUUUUGCUUCAAACGGUUAUAACUUUAUAAUAUCAUUGAUUCUUAUUCUAGCAUUUUGUUUCACUAAAUUGUGACCAAAGGCUUCUAUCACUCCAUAAAAAAGGAAAUGCAGAGUAUUUUGGGCUAUGUUAACAAUGGAAGCCUGUCAAGUAACUUAUUAAUUUUGUUACCUUACUUAUAGACCAUAGACUAAUUUUAUGAUUUAUACAGAAGGGAACAUUCUUCCCCUCUGAAAUCAUCUUCAACUUUGAUAUGAAGACCUUAGGGUGUAUAUAAUCAAGAUGAUUAUGAAUCAGUAAGAAAAUAUUUAUUAUAAAUUCAGAAAAUAGAGGACUUUUUAAACAUUAAUAAUUUUAAAUGGUAAAUACUAUCAACAUAUUUUGGAAAAUUCAUUUUGUUAUAAAAUAACUAGCUCUUAUGGCAGCAUGCAAAUCUGUUAGUAGUUAAGGCGUCUAGCUGAAAAUAGGAGGAAAUGGAGGAAAAUAAGCUUCUAGAAUUUUAGUCAUCCUGGAGGUCAAUGUUUUUAUGGAUGAUUUAUGGCCAUGGCCACAUGUUCAAAGCCUUGAAUGGUAACUCAAGAGCAUUUCAGACUAUGCUUCAUUCAUGUGGUGAAAACUGAUAGAUAAAGUUAGCUAGUAGAGAUGCCACAAAACCUGAUAUUCUUAAAAGUUCAAAAGUACAAUUUAUAAAAAGUUGUCACAAAAUAAGAAACAGUUAUCCAGAUUAUUCAUAGAGAAGAGAACCAGGAUUCCUGACUGUGCAGACGCUGAGCUUCAGAGUGGGAAUGCACACAUGAAUGCACAUCUUCUCUGUGUUAACUCUUAACUCUUAAUUUUGCUUCGUUCUUGGGACUGUAGAAAUGCUUAAACCCAAAACCUAUCUCCGGUGACUUCCUUGAUUAGCUCCUCUUUACCUUGUGCCUCAAUAGUAGUGACCUCUUAAUUCAGUCAAGCAGGUAUUUGCCAUAAGCCUUUUAUAAUGCAGGAUAUCUUGCUAGGAGUAAGUAAGAUGAGGAGCAAGAACAAUUCCUGCCCUUAUGUCUAAAAUUUGGGACAAAACAAACAACAGGUCCUCCUUCAACACCAGAGGGUAGUGUCAUGUCUUAAAUAAAUGGAGGAAAUUCAGGUCUAGUCAACAUCCAUAGUCUCCUAGGAAGUGAUACACAAUGCAGAAUAUUUUUUUUACCAACAUUUUGACUGAAACUUCAUAUACACUCUAUUAGUGUGCUCAGGCCAUCAUAACAAAAUGCUAUAGAUUGGGUGGCUUGAACAACAGAAACUUAUUUCUCACAGGUCUGGAAGCUAAGAAGUCCAAGACCAAGGCAUAAGCCAACUGGGUUUCUAGUGAGGACUCUUCUCCUUGCCUUGCAGACAAGGCAGGGAGAAGAGAGACGGCUUCUUGUGUCUCCUUUUGUAAGGACACAAUCCUACUAGUAAAGGCUCCACCCCUAUGACCUCACUUAACCUUAAUGGCCUUAUUGUCCUUAUCUCCUAACACAGUCACAU